RNAcentral lists this ribosomal RNA (465 nucleotides) under Vreelandella stevensii. RNAcentral's name for it is "partial 16S ribosomal RNA". It matches the Rfam family "Bacterial small subunit ribosomal RNA", at positions 338 to 795 of the family's 1533-position model. Lineage: Bacteria; Pseudomonadati; Pseudomonadota; Gammaproteobacteria; Oceanospirillales; Halomonadaceae. The record is from RNAcentral.
CCUACGGGUGGCUGCAGUGGGGAAUAUUGGACAAUGGGCGAAAGCCUGAUCCAGCCAUGCCGCGUGUGUGAAGAAGGCCUUCGGGUUGUAAAGCACUUUCAGUGGGGAAGAAAGCCUUGGGGCUAAUACCCUCGAGGAAGGACAUCACCCACAGAAGAAGCACCGGCUAACUCCGUGCCAGCAGCAGCGGUAAUACGGAGGGUGCGAGCGUUAAUCGGAAUUACUGGGCGUAAAGCGCGCGUAGGCGGUCUGAUAAGCCGGUUGUGAAAGCCCCGGGCUCAACCUGGGAACGGCAUCCGGAACUGUCAGGCUAGAGUGCAGGAGAGGAAGGUAGAAUUCCCGGUGUAGCGGUGAAAUGCGUAGAGAUCGGGAGGAAUACCAGUGGCGAAGGCGGCCUUCUGGACUGACACUGACGCUGAGGUGCGAAAGCGUGGGUAGCAAACAGGAUUAGAUACCCCUGUAGUC